RNAcentral lists this ribosomal RNA (855 nucleotides) under uncultured bacterium. Its description in RNAcentral is "bacterial SSU rRNA". It matches the Rfam family "Bacterial small subunit ribosomal RNA", at positions 1 to 802 of the family's 1533-position model. The record is from RNAcentral.
UGGCUUAGAGUUUGAUCCUGGCUCAGGAUGAACGCUGGCGGCGUGCCUAAUACAUGCAAGUCGAGCGGUAAGGUUCUGCACCUAGUAUUUGAACGAGAUAAGUCCCUAGGGAUACUAUCCGAAAACAUCAUUCUCACGGCUUGAGAGCGAUGGUCGAAUGUUAAGUGUAGAAUACACGAGCGGCGGACGGCUGAGUAACGCGUAGGAACGUACCCCAAAGUGAGGGAUAACUGCUCGAAAGAGUAGCUAAUACCGCAUGUGGUCUUCGGAUUAAAGCUUCGGCGCUUUGGGAGCGGCCUGCGUAUGAUUAGAUAGUUGGUGAGGUAAUGGCUCACCAAGUCUACGAUCAUUAGCUGGUCUGAGAGGAUGAUCAGCCAGACUGGGACUGAGAACGGCCCAGACUCCUACGGGAGGCAGCAGUAGGGAAUUUUCCACAAUGGACGAAAGUCUGAUGGAGCAACGCCGCGUGCAGGAUGAAUGCCCUUGGGUUGUAAACUGCUUUUAUGAGUGACGAAUAUGACGGUAGCUCAUGAAUAAGGACCGGCUAACUCCGUGCCAGCAGCCGCGGUCAUACGGAGGGUCCAAGCGUUAUCCGGAAUUACUGGGCGUNAAGAGUUGCGUAGGUGGCAUUGUAAGUAGAUAAUGAAAGCGUGGAGCUCAAACUCAUAUCCUUAUCUAAACUGGCAAGCUAAAGGGCGAAAAAGGUUACUAAAAAUUCUUUGUGGAAGAGUGAAAUCCCUAAAUUUUAGGGAGGAUUACCGAUGGCGUAGGCAGGUAACCUGGCUUCGUCCUUGACACUAAGGCCCAAAACCGGGGGUAACAAACCGGAUUAAAAACCCCGGGUAAUCCACCCCC